AUGGGGGCGGGACUAUAUGGGUAUGUCGACAAAACAAUCCCCGAGUCAUCCAAGACCAUCACCACCAAAACCUCCGACGGGAAAGACCAGAUCGGUCCCGAUCCUGCCCACAACCCUUGGUUAAUCCAAGAUCAACAGAUAGUCGCCUACUUGCUCCGAAAUCUCUCCAAGGAGGUCUUGGUUCAGGUUGCUUCCUUAGAAACCUCUUCUGCCAUAUGGUCGGCUCUCGCAAACAUGUUUGCAGCCCAAUCACGAUCUCGUGAAAACAACUGCCGCAUUGCCCUCUCCAACGCCCAGAAGGGCACCCAAUCUGCAGCCACCUUCUUCGGUCAUAUGCGA
Molecule: ribosomal RNA, 339 nt
Filed under: Triticum aestivum (bread wheat)
Lineage: Eukaryota; Viridiplantae; Streptophyta; Magnoliopsida; Poales; Poaceae
Description: partial small subunit ribosomal RNA
Source: RNAcentral